CGGACGGGUGAGUAAUGUCAGGGAAACUGCCCGAUGGAGGGGGAUAACUACUGGAAACGGUAGCUAAUACCGCAUAACGUCGCAAGACCAAAGAGGGGGACCUUCGGGCCUCUUGCCAUCGGAUGUGCCCAGAUGGGAUUAGCUAGUAGGUGGGGUAACGGCUCACCUAGGCGACGAUCCCUAGCUGGUCUGAGAGGAUGACCAGCCACACUGGAACUGAGACACGGUCCAG
Molecule: ribosomal RNA, 232 nt
Filed under: uncultured bacterium
Lineage: Bacteria
Description: partial 16S ribosomal RNA
Rfam family: Bacterial small subunit ribosomal RNA
Source: RNAcentral